Molecule: long non-coding RNA, 239 nt
Filed under: Lathyrus oleraceus (garden pea)
Lineage: Eukaryota; Viridiplantae; Streptophyta; Magnoliopsida; Fabales; Fabaceae
Description: Pisum sativum (pea) long non-coding RNA (PSAT_LNC022134)
Source: RNAcentral
UGAAGUCUGAUUGGUGUGAUUGGAGUAUGUAUAGGUAUAACUCAUAGAGUUAGGUGCCACCGGUAGGGAUGGUGUAUGUCAUGUUGAGACAUGUCUGUACAAUGCAUGGAUAUUGGUGUGAAGUUUCCAUGAUUGUUAAUUUGAGGGGGAGUUUUGGUUAACCUCCUCACAUUUGGUCAGCCUAAGGUCUGGUUGGCUGUUGACCUGUGUCACAUGGGUUCUGGUGGUUGUGUGACACA